AGAGCGAACGCUGGCGGCAGGCCUAAUACAUGCAAGUCGAACGGAUCCUUCGGGAUUAGUGGCGGACGGGUGAGUAACACGUGGGAACGUGCCCUUUGGUUCAGGACAACUCAGGGAAACUUGAGCUAAUACUGGAUAAGCCCUUCGGGGGAAAGAUUUAUCGCCAUUGGAGCGGCCCGCGUCUGAUUAGCUAGUUGGUAGGGUAAAGGCCUACCAAGGCUACGAUCAGUAGCUGGUCUGAGAGGAUGAUCAGCCACACUGGGACUGAGACACGGCCCAGACUCCUACGGGAGGCAGCAGUAGGGAAUCUGCGCAAUGGGCGAAAGCCUGACGCAGCCAUGCCGCGUGAAUGAUGAAGGUCUUAGGAUUGUAAAAUUCUUUCAGCGGGGACGAUAAUGACGGUACCCGCAGAAGAAGCCCGGCUAACUUCGUGCCAGCAGCCGC
Molecule: ribosomal RNA, 444 nt
Filed under: uncultured bacterium
Lineage: Bacteria
Description: SSU rRNA
Rfam family: Bacterial small subunit ribosomal RNA
Source: RNAcentral